This 85-nucleotide transfer RNA is filed under the name Burkholderiales bacterium. Its description in RNAcentral is "tRNA-Leu". It matches the Rfam family "tRNA". From Rfam's summary of the family: Transfer RNA (tRNA) molecules are approximately 80 nucleotides in length. Their secondary structure includes four short double-helical elements and three loops (D, anti-codon, and T loops). Further hydrogen bonds mediate the characteristic L-shaped molecular structure. tRNAs have two regions of fundamental functional importance: the anti-codon, which is responsible for specific mRNA codon recognition, and the 3' end, to which the tRNAs corresponding amino acid is attached (by aminoacyl-tRNA synthetases). tRNAs cope with the degeneracy of the genetic code in two manners: having more than one tRNA (with a specific anti-codon) for a particular amino acid; and 'wobble' base-pairing, i.e. permitting non-standard base-pairing at the 3rd anti-codon position. The record is from RNAcentral. Lineage: Bacteria; Pseudomonadati; Pseudomonadota; Betaproteobacteria; Burkholderiales. RNAcentral also lists the same sequence under 3 other names.
GCGGCCGUGGCGGAAUGGGUAGACGCACCAGGUUUAGGUCCUGGCGCUGCAAGGCGUGAAGGUUCGACUCCUUUCGGCCGCACCA